GAUACAUAGCUCAGUUGGUAGAGUGCUUGCCUCAUCUGCACAAGGCCCUGGGUUCAAUCCCCAGCACCA
This 69-nucleotide transfer RNA is filed under the name Marmota monax (woodchuck). RNAcentral's name for it is "tRNA.Met". The record is from RNAcentral. Lineage: Eukaryota; Metazoa; Chordata; Mammalia; Rodentia; Sciuridae.